RNAcentral lists this ribosomal RNA (263 nucleotides) under uncultured bacterium. RNAcentral's name for it is "partial 16S ribosomal RNA". It matches the Rfam family "Bacterial small subunit ribosomal RNA", at positions 793 to 1055 of the family's 1533-position model. The record is from RNAcentral.
GUCCACGCCCUAAACGAUGAUGACUAGUUGUUGGGGAGUUAAAUCCCUUAGUAACGCAGCUAACGCGUGAAGUAAUCCGCCUGGGGAGUACGGUCGCAAGAUUAAAACUCAAAGGAAUUGACGGGGCCCGCACAAGCGGUGGAUGAUGUGGUUUAAUUCGAUGCAACGCGAAAACCUUACCUACCCUUGACAUGCCAGGAAUGCUGCAGAAAUGCAGUGGUGCCCGAAAGGGAACCUGGACACAGGUGCUGCAUGGCUGUCGU